GACGAACGCUGGCGGCGUGCUUAACACAUGCAAGUCGAACGGAAAGGCCCUGCUUUUGUGGGGUGCUCGAUUGGCGAACGGGUGAGUAACACGUGAGUAACCUGCCCUUGACUUUGGGAUAACUUCAGGAAACUGGGGCUAAUACCGGAUAUGAGCUCCUGCUGCAUGGUGGGGGUUGGAAAGUUUCGGCGGUUGGGGAUUGACUCGCGGCUUAUCAGCUUGUUGGUGGGGUAGUGGCUUACCAAGGCUUUGACGGGUAGCCGGCCUGAGAGGGUGACCGGCCACAUUGGGACUGAGAUACGGACCAGACUCCUACGGGAGGCAGCAGUGGGGAAUAUUGCACAAUGGGAGGAAGCCUGAUGCAGCAACGCAGCGUGCGGGAUGACGGCCUUCGGGUUGUAAACCGAUUUCGCCUGUGACGAAGAGUGAGUGACGGUAAUGGGUAAAGAAGCACCGGCUAACUACGUG
Molecule: ribosomal RNA, 468 nt
Filed under: uncultured bacterium
Lineage: Bacteria
Description: partial 16S ribosomal RNA
Rfam family: Bacterial small subunit ribosomal RNA
Source: RNAcentral